GCGCUCACUUUGGCAGCACAUAUACUAAAAUUGGAAGGACAGAGAAGAUUAGCAUAGCCACUGCGCAAGGAUGACAUGCU
Molecule: small nuclear RNA, 80 nt
Filed under: Podiceps cristatus (great crested grebe)
Lineage: Eukaryota; Metazoa; Chordata; Aves; Podicipediformes; Podicipedidae
Source: RNAcentral